RNAcentral lists this unclassified non-coding RNA (240 nucleotides) under soil metagenome. RNAcentral's name for it is "partial contains 5.8S ribosomal RNA, internal transcribed spacer 2, and large subunit ribosomal RNA". The record is from RNAcentral.
AACAAGGCGUACCUGCGGACCUGCGGAGGGAUCAUUACCGAGUGCGGGUCCGCGUGGCCCAACCUCCCACCCGUGCCUAUUGUACCCUGUUGCUUCGGCGGGCCCGCCAGCCUUCGGGCUGGCCGCCGGGGGGCGUCUCGCCCCCGGGCCCGUGCCCGCCGGAGACCCCAACAUGAACCCUGUUCUGAAAGCUUGGUGUCUGAGUGUGAUUGUUUGCAAUCAGUUAAAACUUUCAACAAU